Molecule: ribosomal RNA, 265 nt
Filed under: unidentified marine bacterioplankton
Lineage: Bacteria
Also listed under: 1 other name
Description: partial 16S ribosomal RNA
Rfam family: Bacterial small subunit ribosomal RNA
Source: RNAcentral
AACUCCUGCUUGCAGGAGGGAUUAGUGGCGCACGGGUGAGUAAUAUAUAGUUAACGUGCCUCUUAGUCUGGGAUAGCCAUUGGAAACGAUGAUUAAUACUAGAUACUCCUUCUCUCUAUAAUUAGAGUUGGGAAAGUUUUUCGCUAAGAGAUCGGACUAUAUCCCAUCAGCUAGUUGGUAGUGUAAGAGACUACCAAGGCUAUGACGGGUAGCGGGUUUGAGAGGAUGAUCCGCCACACUGGUACUGAGACACGGACCAGACUCC